AGAACGAACGCUGGCGGCACGCCUAACACAUGCAAGUCGAGCGCCCAGCAAUGGGAGCGGCGGACGAGUGAGUAACACGUGGGAACAUGCCUUUCGGUUCGGCACAACUCAGGGAAACUUGAGCUAAUUCCGGAUGCGCCCGUAAGGGGAAAGAUUUAUCGCCGAAAGAUUGGCCCGCGUAAGAUUAGCUAGUUGGUGAGGUAAUGGCUCACCAAGGCAACGAUCUUUAGCUGGUUUGAGAGAACGACCAGCCACGUUGGGGCUGAGACACGGCCCAAACUCCUACGGGAGGCAGCAGUGGGGAAUCUUGGACAAUGGGCGAAAGCCUGAUCCAGCGAUGCCGCGUGAGUGAUGAAGGCCUUCGGGUUGUAAAACUCUUUUACCCGGGAAGAUAAUGACUGUACCGGGAGAAUAAGCUCCGGCUAACUUCGUGCCAGCAGCCGC
This 444-nucleotide ribosomal RNA is filed under the name uncultured bacterium. RNAcentral's name for it is "SSU rRNA". It matches the Rfam family "Bacterial small subunit ribosomal RNA", at positions 26 to 518 of the family's 1533-position model. The record is from RNAcentral.